UGUCAGGCCCCGUGCGGCAACGCCGGCGAAUUCCGCCAGGACGGGAACGUAGCAACGGCAGUCAGGAUGUUUGCGCGGCGCGGGUCACCUGACAUUC
Molecule: signal recognition particle RNA, 97 nt
Filed under: Puniceicoccales bacterium
Lineage: Bacteria; Pseudomonadati; Verrucomicrobiota; Opitutia; Puniceicoccales
Description: signal recognition particle sRNA small type
Rfam family: Bacterial small signal recognition particle RNA
About the family: The signal recognition particle (SRP) is a universally conserved ribonucleoprotein involved in the co-translational targeting of proteins to membranes. Archaeal SRP consists of a 7S RNA and homologues of the eukaryotic SRP19 and SRP54 proteins.
Source: RNAcentral